Molecule: ribosomal RNA, 513 nt
Filed under: Vibrio scophthalmi
Lineage: Bacteria; Pseudomonadati; Pseudomonadota; Gammaproteobacteria; Vibrionales; Vibrionaceae
Description: bacterial SSU rRNA
Rfam family: Bacterial small subunit ribosomal RNA
Source: RNAcentral
UGACGAGCGGCGGACGGGUGAGUAAUGCCUGGGAAUAUGCCUUGAUGUGGGGGAUAACCAUUGGAAACGAUGGCUAAUACCGCAUAAUGCCUACGGGCCAAAGAGGGGGAUCUUCGGACCUCUCGCGUCAAGAUUAGCCCAGGUGGGAUUAGCUAGUUGGUGAGGUAAUGGCUCACCAAGGCGACGAUCCCUAGCUGGUCUGAGAGGAUGAUCAGCCACACUGGAACUGAGACACGGUCCAGACUCCUACGGGAGGCAGCAGUGGGGAAUAUUGCACAAUGGGCGCAAGCCUGAUGCAGCCAUGCCGCGUGUGUGAAGAAGGCCUUCGGGUUGUAAAGCACUUUCAGUCGUGAGGAAGGUAGUUGCGUUAAUAGCGUAAUUAUUUGACGUUAGCGACAGAAGAAGCACCGGCUAACUCCGUGCCAGCAGCCGCGGUAAUACGGAGGGUGCGAGCGUUAAUCGGAAUUACUGGGCGUAAAGCGCAUGCAGGUGGUUUGUUAAGUCAGAUGUGAA